Paramuricea clavata is the source of this 107-nucleotide non-coding RNA. The record is from the annotation of a GenBank genome assembly. NCBI's taxonomy places the organism in Eukaryota, Metazoa, Cnidaria, Anthozoa, Malacalcyonacea, Plexauridae.
UAGCAUAUUAUAGAGUCAACAAAAGAGCCAUAAAAAGACACUGCCAUAAAAAGACACUUUUGUCCAGUGUCUUUUUAUGGCUCUUUUGUUGACUCUAUAAUAUGCUA